This 71-nucleotide transfer RNA is filed under the name Loxodonta africana (African savanna elephant). It matches the Rfam family "tRNA". From Rfam's summary of the family: Transfer RNA (tRNA) molecules are approximately 80 nucleotides in length. Their secondary structure includes four short double-helical elements and three loops (D, anti-codon, and T loops). Lineage: Eukaryota; Metazoa; Chordata; Mammalia; Proboscidea; Elephantidae. The record is from Rfam by way of RNAcentral.
GAGGUGGUGGUUCAGUGAUAGAAUUCUCACCUUCCAUGCGGGCAACCCAGGUUUGAUUUCUGGCCAAUGCA